This 67-nucleotide small RNA is filed under the name Arabidopsis thaliana (thale cress). RNAcentral describes it as "ATSL281880". Lineage: Eukaryota; Viridiplantae; Streptophyta; Magnoliopsida; Brassicales; Brassicaceae. The record is from RNAcentral.
AUUUACAAUUGUUAGGAAGUAACGUUCUGCUAAAUUCGUCCCGCCAAAAAAAUUAAUAUUGUCAAAU